RNAcentral lists this ribosomal RNA (443 nucleotides) under uncultured soil bacterium. RNAcentral's name for it is "bacterial SSU rRNA". It matches the Rfam family "Bacterial small subunit ribosomal RNA", at positions 26 to 518 of the family's 1533-position model. The record is from RNAcentral.
AGAACGAACGCUGGCGGCAUGCCUAAUACAUGCAAGUCGAACGAACUCUUCGGAGUUAGUGGCGCACGGGUGCGUAACGCGUGGGAAUCUGCCCUUGGGUUCGGAAUAACAGUUGGAACCGACUGCUAAUACCGGAUGAUGACGAAAGUCCAAAGAUUUAUCGCCCAGGGAUGAGCCCGCGUAGGAUUAGCUAGUUGGUGAGGUAAAGGCUCACCAAGGCGACGAUCCUUAGCUGGUCUGAGAGGAUGAUCAGCCACACUGGGACUGAGACACGGCCCAGACUCCUACGGGAGGCAGCAGUAGGGAAUAUUGGACAAUGGGCGAAAGCCUGAUCCAGCAAUGCCGCGUGAGUGAUGAAGGCCUUAGGUUGUAAAGCUCUUUACCCGAGAUGAUAAUGACAGUAUCGGGAGAAUAAGCCCGGCUAACUCCGUGCCAGCAGCCGC